AAAGUCGUAACAAGGUCUCCGUUGGUGAACCAGCGGAGGGAUCAUUACUGAGUGUAAAAACUCCCAAACCCAUUGUGAACAUACCACUGUUGCUUCGGCGGAUGCGCCCCGGGCGCGCCCUCACAGGCGUGCCCCGGACCAAGGCGCCCGCCGGGGGACCGAAACUCUUGUUUUCUUACAGAAUCUCUGAGUCUGAUUUUAAAUCAAAUCAAAACUUUCAACAACGGAUCUCUUGGCUCUA
RNAcentral lists this unclassified non-coding RNA (241 nucleotides) under Ascomycota sp. RNAcentral's name for it is "partial contains small subunit ribosomal RNA, internal transcribed spacer 1, and 5.8S ribosomal RNA". The stretch from base 1 to 47 matches the Rfam family "Eukaryotic small subunit ribosomal RNA", at positions 1785 to 1831 of the family's 1831-position model. The record is from RNAcentral. Lineage: Eukaryota; Fungi; Ascomycota.